This 3052-nucleotide ribosomal RNA is filed under the name Triticum aestivum (bread wheat). Its description in RNAcentral is "partial small subunit ribosomal RNA". The record is from RNAcentral. Lineage: Eukaryota; Viridiplantae; Streptophyta; Magnoliopsida; Poales; Poaceae.
AUAUAAGCAGGUUGUGCCACAAAAGGUACAAUACAUAUAUGUUUCUACAUGUGUGCCACAAAAGAACAUAUGUUUCUGGGGUGCCACACAACCAAAAUGAGCAUAUUGUGGCCUAACAACCGGCAAAAUGAGCAGAGCAAGUGUAUAGGUUCCACAAACAAAGCAUAAUCACUCUACCAUAUCUUCAACAGCUUAAAGAUCUUCCGAAUCUCCCAAAUCUUCAGCAGCUUGAAGAUCUUCGAAACCCCCAUCAACUUCUGUAGGGAAACCUGCAACAAAUAAGAAACUCAAAAUGGAGCUCUCGUUUCAGAUUUUAAAUUAGCACAUUAAAGAUUUUGACAUGCUGCAGUUUAACUCAUCGGCAUAAAUAGAACUCUUCUAAAUGUGCAUCACUUCAUCAUCACUGCAAGCAAUGUUACAUCAUUAGAUCAAGCAGGAAUUGUUUGAAGUACACAUACAAUAUCUUCAUGUGCAAAUAAGGAAAACAGGAACCUGUACAAUUGACUUGCAAAAGCAAUGACUAAAACUGAGUUAAACAUGUAUAGCAUCAUCUCUGGAGUUAAUUUAGUACUCUGAGUUCGAAUCAUUUUUUUGCACCGAGUUAAACUCUACAAAUAGGCAACACUCUAUAUAGUACUAUUUUGAACAAAUAGUCAAAGCUGUGUACAAAUAGGCAAAACUCUGUACUAUACACAAUACGGUAGCGCAAGUAGGCAAAACUCUAUACUAUACAGAGUACAACAGUACAAAUAGGCAAAACUCUGUGCAAAUAGGCAGGGGCAGGCCCACAUCAAUUUUAAAAACUACGUAUAUAUAGUGUAUAUCAUAUGUAUAUAGAAGAAAAAACUAAUGAAAUAACCGUUGGUUACUGAUUUCUCUCUGUAUCUCAUGCAUCUUAGCUUGUGUUUAAUAGAAUUCAUUGAAGAGAAUACCCUCUAACAGUGCAGCAAGCCAAAACUAAUAGUAGAGUUUAACACUGAGUUCUAGCUCGAAGCCAAAAAUCUGUCAUGUGCAAAUAGGCAAAACAUGCUCAGUUCAAAUCUUUCUUUUUCUUGCACUGAGAUAAACAUUUGUACAGAGUCUCCAGGAAUAACAAGGUAAUGCAGCACUGUACGUGUAUACUGUGGGGUGAAAGGAAGCAUCGAGGAACCGAUUACUUGCGCCGACGGAACAGGUCAAGAUUGCUGCUCUUGCCCACCUGCUCGGAAGUCGCUGGCAGCCGCCAAGCCACCCCGCCUAUCAGGUCAGGUCACUUCCCAAAUUUAUGAAUUUCUUUACCCCAUCAAUAUGUGCUUGUGUACUUCUAGCUUUAUCCAUCCUACUCUUGUCAAUUCUUGACCAGUUUCACUAAAAUUGCCUAACAUGCGACAGAAAGUAUACUUCUAUUAAGGAAAAAAUGUAGUAACAAAAUGCAUAUCACCCGUAUCUAGUACAGGCAACAAGAAAUACAAUAUGGAGAAGGAAUGCCAUCACACAACACAAUAUAAUGAACUGAAACAUGUCAUUUCAGAAAAUACAAAAACCAAAAUAGCAGUAAGAAUGUCAUCAUCUAUACCAUAAAAGCACAGCACCUGUUCUGUACACAUAUCGUAUUUCACACAACACAAACAAAGAUGGUUCUACUUUGGGGCAUCAACUAAACAACUUAGUCAGGUGGACUAAACAGGUGGACUGAAGACUUAAAAUGAUUAGCUUUCUUCUCAAAUUAAAAUGAACUCCAUAGCUCAACUCAACAACUUAGUCAGGUGUCAGCGAAUCUAAUUAAGCUAUGCACUUAUUAAUCAACAAUGGUCCUUGUCCUUCGAUCUGAAGGGCUACUAACAGUACUAGUGUUCAUCUAUGUUUAUUUUUUAGUUCCAUUUUUAGAACCAUUUCAAGACUAUUACACUUUUACACAUUUCGUAGCAGCACAAGCUAACAACUUUAUCAGAUAUUCCAAAUUGCUGGCCUGCUCUUUUGGUGAGGACAGUAGAACUAGCUCGGAAGAAAAAAGGCACAAAAUAUGAAAUCUCACCUGACAAAUAAAGGGGAAAAGGAGGCAGCGCUAUUGAUCCAGGGGAAGAACAUUGCGGAGGGUAGAUGCUCUGUUGCUUCAUUGCAGAGGACAUGGAGGAUGUGGACCCGCAGGUGUCUGUAUGUUUAGACAGUUCAAUUCCAAAACUAGGAUGUGUCUAACAUGAUUCAAAACCAUACAAUAAAUGAGUGAAUUAAAAACACGUGUUUGUGUUGAUGCCUUCAUGGCCAUCAAACAUAACUGUGUUACUAUGUCGUAAAAAAAGUUGAAUUUCACCAGAAGAGCUUGAUUAGAGCUUACAUGCACACAGUUUCACUUCCAAUAUGACACAUCCUUUCACAAUUCAAUUUCAAGAGGAGUUGUAGCUAUAAGGUGUCACAAUUGCAGUCCCGCUGAAUAUAAACCUUAUUGCCUCUUUCAAAGCAAGUAGCUUUUCCCAGCAUAUUUUCAGACUUCCAGUGUGUAUAUAUGUAUAGCAAGAUUAAAAAGCAAUCAAAGGUGCGGCAAUGGCAGUCCCAUUGAAUAUAAAUGGUAUUGCUGCUUUCAAAGAAAGUAGCUUUUACUAGCAUGUCUUUAGACUUUCAGUGUGUAUAUAUCAAUAGCAAGAUUACUAUGGCUGGUUAUAGUUUCAUGAAUGUUGGCCCUUCUAGUACAUUCAGGUUGUAUAGAAAAUAGUAAAUACAACCAAUUCUCACACAUGAGGUGCUUCCUUUUUAAAAGAGCCCCAAGUUAAGAGGAAAAAUAUAGAUGCAUCAGUAACAAAAUUAUGCAAAGAGAAGCUUCCACACAUGUAUAUGUUUAAUCCCAAGUCCCACCAUCAAUCCAUAAAAAGGAUUUUCUGAAAGAAAAUAGAACUGGCAUAACUAAGGUAAAAUUCACUUGUGUUCCUCUCAAAUAAAUCAGUGUGUCUACAAUCCUGUAGUUUCUAAUUAUUAGUGGCGAAAAUCAGAUUAUAUGUAUGAAGAGAAGCGUUACCACUCAUGGAAAUUUUGUGAGCAAGCUACUGUUUCUUUAUUAGCUUGCAAGACUGUUGUUUCC